UGCUCAGGACGAACGCUGGCGGCGUGCUUAACACAUGCAAGUCGAGCGGUAAGGCCUUUCGGGGUACACGAGCGGCGAACGGGUGAGUAACACGUGGGUGAUCUGCCCUGCACUCUGGGAUAAGCCCGGGAAACUGGGUCUAAUACCGGAUAUGACUGCAUGCCGCAUGGUGUGUGGUGGAAAGCUUUAUGUGGUGCAGGAUGGGCCCGCGGCCUAUCAGCUUGUUGGUGGGGUAAUGGCCUACCAAGGCGACGACGGGUAGCCGACCUGAGAGGGUGACCGGCCACACUGGGACUGAGACACGGCCCAGACUCCUACGGGAGGCAGCAGUGGGGAAUAUUGCACAAUGGGCGGAAGCCUGAUGCAGCGACGCCGCGUGAGGGAUGAAGGCCUUCGGGUUGUAAACCUCUUUCAGCAGGGACGAAGCGUGAGUGACGGUACCUGCAGAAGAAGCACCGGCUAACUACGUGCCAGCAGCCGCGGUAAUACGUAGGGUGCGAGCGUUGUCCGGAAUUACUGGGCGUAAAGAGUUCGUAGGCGGUUUGUCGCGUCGUUUGUGAAAACCCGGGGCUCAACUUCGGGCUUGCAGGCGAUACGGGCAGACUUGAGUGUUUCAGGGGAGACUGGAAUUCCUGGUGUAGCGGUGAAAUGCGCAGAUAUCAGGAGGAACACCGGUGGCGAAGGCGGGUCUCUGGGAAACAACUGAC
Molecule: ribosomal RNA, 707 nt
Filed under: Rhodococcus sp. VO24-3
Lineage: Bacteria; Bacillati; Actinomycetota; Actinomycetes; Mycobacteriales; Nocardiaceae
Description: bacterial SSU rRNA
Rfam family: Bacterial small subunit ribosomal RNA
Source: RNAcentral